AGAGUUUGAUCAUGGCUCAGGACGAACGCUGGCGGCGUGCCUAACACAUGCAAGUCGCACGGGGUAGCAAUACCCAGUGGCGAACGGGUGCGUAACACGUGAGGAACAUACCUAUCGGCGGGGGAUAGCCGGCCCAACGGCCGGGUAAUACCGCGUACGCUCUCCGGGGGGCAUCUCCUGGGGAGGAAAGCAGCAAUGCACCGAUAGAGUGCCUCGCGGCCUAUCAGCUAGUUGGUGAGGUAAUGGCUCACCAAGGCGACGACGGGUAGCUGGUCUGAGAGGAUGAUCAGCCACAUUGGGACUGAGACACGGCCCAGACUCCUACGGGAGGCAGCAGUGGGGAAUCUUGCGCAAUGGGCGAAAGCCUGACGCAGCGACGCCGCGUGUGGGAUGAAGGCCUUCGGGUCGUAAACCACUGUCGCGAGGGACGAAUAAAUUGACGGUACCUCGAAAGGAAGCACCGGCUAACUCUGUGCCAGCAGCCGCGGUA
This 490-nucleotide ribosomal RNA is filed under the name uncultured Gemmatimonadota bacterium. RNAcentral describes it as "bacterial SSU rRNA". It matches the Rfam family "Bacterial small subunit ribosomal RNA", at positions 8 to 522 of the family's 1533-position model. Lineage: Bacteria; Pseudomonadati; Gemmatimonadota. The record is from RNAcentral.